This 848-nucleotide ribosomal RNA is filed under the name uncultured bacterium. RNAcentral describes it as "bacterial SSU rRNA". It matches the Rfam family "Bacterial small subunit ribosomal RNA", at positions 1 to 859 of the family's 1533-position model. The record is from RNAcentral.
GAUUUUCCCCUUGGGGUUUGAUUCCGCUUCCGGAGAAACGCGGCGGAGAUGCUUAACCCUUGCAAUUCGAACGGAGUUAAAGAGCUUGCUUUUUAGCUUAGUGCGGACGGGUGAGUAAGGCAUGAGCAGCCUGCCUGUCAGUGGGGGAUAACUCCCGGAAACGGACGCUAAUACCGCAUGCAGUACAUAAUCCGCAUGGAUAAGUGUAUGAAAGGAGCAAUCCGCUGACAGAUGGGCUCACGUCCGAUUAGUUAGUUGGUGGGGUAAUGGCCUACCAAGACCGCGAUCGGUAGCCGGGCUGAGAGGCUGAACGGCCACAUUGGGACUGAGACACGGCCCAGAUUCUUACGGGAGGCAGCAGUGGGGGAUAUUGCACAACGGGGGAAACCCUGAUGCAGCAACGCCGCGUGAGGGAUGAAGGUUUUCGGAUUGUAAACCUCUGUCCUUAGUGAAGAACAAAAUGACGGUAACUAAGGAGGAAGCUCCGGCUAACUACGUGCCAGCAGCCGCGGUAAUACGUAGGGAGCAAGCGUUGUCCGGAUUUAUUGGGUGUAAAGGGUGCGUAGGCGGCUAUGUAAGUCAGACGUGUAAUGCAGGGGCUUAACCCGUGAACUGCGUUUGAAACUGUGUAGCUUGAGUGGAGUAGAGGCAGAUGGAAUUUCCAGUGUAGCGGUGAAAUGCGUAGAUAUUGGAAGGAACACCAGUGGCGAAGGCGAUCUGCUGGGCUCUAGCUGACGCUGAUUCACGAAAGCGUGGGGAGCAAACAGGAUUAGAUACCCUGGUAGUCCACGCCGUAAACGAUGAGUAAUAGGUGUCGGGUAGAGAUAUUCGGUGCCGGAGCUAACGCA